UGGGGAAUAUUGCGCAAUGGGGGCAACCCUGACGCAGCAACGCCGCGUGAUUGAAGAAGGCCUUCGGGUUGUAAAGAUCUUUAAUCAGGGACGAAAUUUGACGGUACCUGAAGAAUAAGCUCCGGCUAACUACGUGCCAGCAGCCGCGGUAAUACGUAGGGAGCAAGCGUUAUCCGGAUUUACUGGGUGUAAAGGGCGCGCAGGCGGGCCGGCAAGUUGGAAGUGAAAUCCCGGGGCUUAACCCCGGAACUGCUUUCAAAACUGCUGGUCUUGAGUGAUGGAGAGGCAGGCGGAAUUCCGUGUGUAGCGGUGAAAUGCGUAGAUAUACGGAGGAACACCAGUGGCGAAGGCGGCCUGCUGGACAUUAACUGACGCUGAGGCGCGAAAGCGUGGGGAGCAAACA
RNAcentral lists this ribosomal RNA (403 nucleotides) under uncultured bacterium. RNAcentral's name for it is "bacterial SSU rRNA". It matches the Rfam family "Bacterial small subunit ribosomal RNA", at positions 355 to 774 of the family's 1533-position model. The record is from RNAcentral.